CAGCAGCCGCGGUAAUACGUAGGUGGCAAGCGUUGUCCGGAAUUAUUGGGCGUAAAGGGCUCGCAGGCGGUUUCUUAAGUCUGAUGUGAAAGCCCCCGGCUCAACCGGGGAGGGUCAUUGGAAACUGGGAAACUUGAGUGCAGAAGAGGAGAGUGGAAUUCCACGUGUAGCGGUGAAAUGCGUAGAGAUGUGGAGGAACACCAGUGGCGAAGGCGACUCUCUGGUCUGUAACUAACGCUGAGGAGCGAAAGCGUGGGGAGCGAACAGGAUUAGAUACCCGUGUAGUCCCUGUCUCUUAUAC
Molecule: ribosomal RNA, 301 nt
Filed under: uncultured bacterium
Lineage: Bacteria
Description: partial 16S ribosomal RNA
Rfam family: Bacterial small subunit ribosomal RNA
Source: RNAcentral